AUGAGGGGGAUAACUACUGGAAACGGUAGGCUAAUACCGCAUAACGUCGCAAGACCAAAGAGGGGGACCUUCGGGCCUCUUGCCAUCGGAUGUGCCCAGAUGGGAUUAGCUAGUAGGUGGGGUAAAGGCCCACCUAGGCGACGAUCCCUAGCUGGUCUGAGAGGAUGACCAGCCACACUGGAACUGAGACACGGUCCAGACUCCUACGGGAGGCAGCAUG
This 220-nucleotide ribosomal RNA is filed under the name uncultured bacterium. RNAcentral's name for it is "partial 16S ribosomal RNA". It matches the Rfam family "Bacterial small subunit ribosomal RNA", at positions 133 to 353 of the family's 1533-position model. The record is from RNAcentral.